UAGGGAAUCUUCCGCAAUGGGCGAAAGCCUGACGGAGCAACGCCGCGUGAGUGAUGAAGGUCUUCGGAUCGUAAAACUCUGUUAUUAGGGAAGAACAAAUGUGUAAGUAACUAUGCACGUCUUGACGGUACCUAAUCAGAAAGCCACGGCUAACUACGUGCCAGCAGCCGCGGUAAUACGUAGGUGGCAAGCGUUAUCCGGAAUUAUUGGGCGUAAAGCGCGCGUAGGCGGUUUUUUAAGUCUGAUGUGAAAGCCCACGGCUCAACCGUGGAGGGUCAUUGGAAACUGGAAAACUUGAGUGCAGAAGAGGAAAGUGGAAUUCCAUGUGUGGCGGUGAAAUGCGCAGAGAUAUGGAGAAACACCAGUGGCGAAGGCGACUUUCUGGUCUGUAGCUGACGCUGAUGUGCGAAAGCGUGGGGAUCAAACAGG
Molecule: ribosomal RNA, 429 nt
Filed under: Actinomycetes bacterium
Lineage: Bacteria; Bacillati; Actinomycetota; Actinomycetes
Description: Actinobacteria bacterium partial 16S ribosomal RNA
Rfam family: Bacterial small subunit ribosomal RNA
Source: RNAcentral